UCAAGUGCUCCUUCAGAUCCUAAUUAGUUGGUUUCAUCAGGGUUGGAAAUGAACUUUGAAGGAAGAUCCUAAAGCAAACAUGACUUUGAUAACCGUCAUUAUUUGGACACUCACCACCUGCACCUGGAGUUCUGUGGGGCAGAUUGUGACUCAAUCUGAAGAUCAAACAGUGAAGCCUGAUCAGACUGUCACUAUUCAGUGUAAUCAUAAACCAGCAGUAAACUGUAUUAAAAAAGAUACCUCUCAGUAUUGCUUGUCCUGGUACCAUCAGAUUCCUGGAGAAGCUCCUAAACUCCUGAUCUAUUACACAUCAGACAGAGCUUCAGGUGUUUCUUCUAGAUUUAGUGGCAGUGAAAGUGGAAACCACAUGGAUUUUACUCUGACCAUCAAUGGAAUCCAGCCUGAAGAUUCAGGAGUUUAUUACUGUCAAGGUGUAUAUAACAAGGGAGUCUCUGGCACCACAGAUUGGGUGUUCACACAGUGUAAAAUCAUCAUACAAAAACCUCACUGGGUGAUACAGCAGCGCUGCAGCUUUGAGCUUCUGCAGAUGUUGAUGUUGAAGAUCAUUAUUCACCUCACUGACUUACAAACACACAUACACAGAAGGCUGCUGAAUCAAUAAUAAACUCCAGAAUGUCUCAAUCAAGUUUCCACAUGAACUACAAUCCAAUAAAAUCCAUCCAACCUUGAUGAAAGCAAACUCACCAUGGCCAAAGCAACUUCUUAAAUUCAUGCUUUAACUAACAACAUGAAUACUCCAGUUCAGUGUGAAAUAAGCCAGAAUCCAUAUUUUGUUUUAUUUUGUAUUUGUUAACAACCACAACAGGUUUUCCCUGCUAUAUU
Molecule: non-coding RNA, 843 nt
Organism: Sinocyclocheilus anshuiensis
Lineage: Eukaryota; Metazoa; Chordata; Actinopteri; Cypriniformes; Cyprinidae
Source: the annotation of a RefSeq genome assembly